Molecule: ribosomal RNA, 480 nt
Filed under: uncultured bacterium
Lineage: Bacteria
Description: partial 16S ribosomal RNA
Rfam family: Bacterial small subunit ribosomal RNA
Source: RNAcentral
GAUGAACGCUGGCGGCGUGCCUAACACAUGCAAGUCGAACGGAGAUUACGGACGGAAGUUUUCGGAUGGAAGACUGUAAUUCUUAGUGGCGGACGGGUGAGUAACGCGUGGGCAACCUGCCCUAUACAGGGGGAUAGCAGCUGGAAACGGCUGGUAGACCGCAUAAGUCGGCGAGACCGCAUGGUUUUGCCGGGAAAUGAGCAAUCAGGUAUAGGAUGGGCCCGCGUCCGAUUAGCCAGUUGGCAGGGUAAAAGCCUACCAAAGCAACGAUCGGUAGCCGGACUGAGAGGCCGGACGGCCACAUUGGGACUGAGACACGGCCCAAACUCCUACGGGAGGCAGCAGUGGGGGAUAUUGCACAAUGGAGGAAACUCUGAUGCAGCGACGCCGCGUGAGUGAAGAAGUAUUUCGGUAUGUAAAGCUCUAUCAGCAGGGAAGAUGAUGACGGUACCUGACGAAGAAGCCCCGGCUAACUACGUG